GAUGGAGCCGGCAGGCAAGGGGCCGCCACGAGGUGCAGGGUCGUCUGGCUGGGGACCCGGGGGCAGACGAUGGCCGGGAUCCUCCUCCAUCUAACCCUCCGCGUCCUGACCCGGCCCUGGGCGGAAGGGAUGUCUGCAGAGGUGUGCCCUGAACCUGCAGGAGGGACUGAGGUGUCUAGCAUGCCAACCAUCCUAGCUGGAAUACUGGGUUGGAGCUGAACUUCAAGGAGCCUGACCCCAGGCAUGCUUGGAUGACCACCUCUACCAUCAAGACCUGACACAGUGCAAAAGGCGAAGUUCUUCUGUGUUGUGCAGGGGGAAGCUGAACCAUUGCAACAGCAUGGGCGCCCUGGAGAUGCACGAGCGGGUGGAGCAGCUGAAGCAGAGCAUCCACGGCGUGCACCUCUACUCCCGGGGCAAGGAUCAACCUCUCCCCGUGCUGGGCCCUGGGAGGGGUCUGAGCCCAGUGCAGCCAGGCCGAGGGCUAGGUGACCACCUCCACUCUUCCGGUUGGAUUUGCCCUCCUUGGGUCAGGUUUUAUCCAGAGCAGGAAGGGGCCUGGGCAGUCUGGACCUGGGAGGAGAGGCGCUGCCCCUAGCUAGAUUCUUUAGUUAGGAGACUGACUUCAGCUCUGCUACUUCCUUCCUGGCUGCGUGAUCCUGAGCAAGUUGGGCCACCUUUCCGAGAGAGAGAGCCCUCAUUGCUCACCUUGGUGUGUUUUGGAGUGGUGGAUGAAGGCCUGUAGGUAGGGCUGGCUCAAGCAACCCAGCAAACCUGACUCAAUAGAAAAAAAAAGGCCGGGUGCGGUGGCUCAUGCCUGUAAUCCCAGCAGUUCGGUACAAGGCCGAGGCGGGCGGAUCACAAGAUUAGGGGUUCGAGACCAGCCUGACCAACAUGGUGAAACCGCCGUCUCUACUAAAAAUAUAAAAAUUAGCCAGGCAUGGUGGUGCAUGCCUGUAAUCCCAGCUACUUAGGAGGCUGAGGCAGGAGAAUUGCUUGAACCCAGGAGGCGGAGGUUGCAGUGAGCUGAGAUAGCGCCACUGCACUCCAGCCUGGGCAACAGAGUGAGACUCCGUCUCAAAAAAAAAAAAAAAAGUUGAGAGAGUCCUGGCACCAACCAACCAUGUCCUUGGUGUGGCCCUGUGGCUUGUCUCUGGCCCUGUGUUUGGCACUUAAAAAAAAAAAAGGCACUUUUUAUUAGAGUAAACAUGUACAAAACUAGAGAUGACAGCGAACACCCCCAAGAACCUGUCGUCAGCCUCAGCAACUGUCCCCAUCUUGCCAAAUGUGUUUCACUCUCCGUAACCCUAGGCCUUUUUCUGAAGUAUUUGAAGGGGAAUCUCAGAUAUCAUUGCACCUCUGACUACUUUAGAAUGCAUCUUAAUUAAAAAAUAAUAAUAAAAAAAAAAAAGGCAGAGCAUGGUGGUUCACACCUGUAAUCCCAGCAUUUUGGGAGGCCGAGGCAGGUGGAUCACCUGAGGUCAGGAGUUCAAGACCAGCCUGGCCAACAUGGUGAAACCCCGUCUCAACUAAAAAUGAAGAAAAAUUAGCUUGGCUUGCCUGUAAUCCCAGCUACUUCGGGAGGCUGAGGCAGAAGAAUCGCUUGAACCUGGGAGGUAGAGGUUGCAGUGAGCCAAGAUCGCACUACUGCACUCCAACCUGGGCGACAAGAGAAACUCCAUCUCAAAAAAAAAAAAAAAAAAAGGCAUUUGGCUGGGCACAGUAGCUCAUGCCUGUAAUCCCAGCACUUUGGGAAGCUGAGGUUAAGAGAAUCUCUUGAGCCUAGGAGUUGGAGACCAGCCUGGGCAACUAGCAAGACCCCAUCUCUAUGAAAAAAUUUUAAAAAUAGCCAAGUGUGGUGGCACAUGCCUGUAGUCCUGGCUACUUGGGAGGCUGAGGCAGGAGGAUAGCUUGAGCCCAGGAGUUUGAAGUUAUGGUGAGCUAUGAUCACACCAGUGUGCUCCAGCCUGGGCGAUACAGAGUGAGACCCUGUCUCUAUAAAGUGACAACUACAAAAACAAACAUUUGCUGACAUAAUCACAAUGUCAUUGUUACACUUUACAUAAUUGACAACAGGUCUCUGACAUCAGCUGGUCAUAGUCACCUCUCCUAGAUGGGCCACAAAAGUCUUUCUAGACUUGGUCUGUCACCUCAGGACCCUCAGGACCCAGUGAGACUCACAUAUUCAUUAUGUUUGGCUGUUAGGCCUCUUAGGUUCCUUUUAACUAGGGUGAUUGUAUAAUUAGUGUCUAAAUUGGGACACUCGUGAGAAUGAAAUGAAAGGCGGCCAUAUAUGUGUCCACACAGGGGCAGCAAACGUACACUGGGAUGGCCCUGGGUCCUUGGCCACUUCCGUUGAAGUCCCCUUUGAGGAGGGAUAGCCUGUCUGGUGUCGUCCUCUGGCAAGUCCCACUUCCCGGGUUUGCGUCUGUUACGGUCUGCUGGUGGGUUGCUUCCUCCUCUGCCUGUAUUUCUUGGACAGUUGCUCUAAAGCUCGAUUGGAUUCAGGCUCAGUUCCUUCAGUAUGUGUUCGUGGGUGCCUACACUAGUGUGGGGCUACUCACUUCUGUGUCACAUGGGGAGGCCCAGCUUACCUGGGGGUCCCACUUUCUGGGGUGCUGAGAGUGAGCCCUCCACUGAUUGUUGGACCAACAGCACCUGUAGCCCCCCCAAGGUGAGGUUGGUGAGAUGGAGCAUGUUGGCCCCUGUCAGCAGUGGCUCUAGGUAUUGUUCAUGGUGCUCUUUGGGGCCCCCGUCCCUUUCUUGUUGGAGGGACUGCGUGAAGACACCACACCACUGUAUUUGGCUCCCACUCUACCCUGCUCUGGCUGCAACAUAGGCACUCACUGGCACCUUUUGCUGCAGACACCAAGAAGACGAGAAGGAAGCCAAGACAGAAGAAACCAGAACCCAACCUCUUAUGGGACCGGUUGACCCCCCAUGUCUGCCACCAACCCUGCUGCCACCUCUGCCACUACCAACACCAUGGCCUCCGUGGUGACCCCAUCAGCCCUUGGCACCUGGGGCUGCCUUGCUUGCCUACAGCCAAGUAGGUGGAGCCCCUGGGUGCCUUCAAUCCCCACCCAACGCCUUAACCAGAGCAAACCCCGUCUAUCUGCUUUAUCCAUCAAGACCCUGUCUGCAAAGAGGGGUCUGCUGCUUAAAAGCAGAGGGCUGAGAUCCACGGCUACAGGCCCAGGAGAGCCCCUGAGAUUGUUCUGAGCAGGGGGCACCCAGGACUGCCUGGAGUGGGGGAGGCUCCCACUGACCGACUUGCAGGGCAGUGGAGGGAAGGGACCAAAGACCCUAGGCAUAGUGUAGACCAGACAGGAUCCUGGGGCUCCCAAAGGACAGGUAGAAAACCAGGGGGCUCCUCCCACAUCUCCAGCCCCACUCCUGCCUCUCCCUGUGGGCAUGGCUCCCCAUGCUACCCUGUGCCUGCAGUGCACUGGGUUAGAGCCAGGAUGGUGUCUGGCCCCAGAGAGUUGAGGAGGCAUGCUUACCAGGGGGAGCCAGGGCAAUGGAGCUUGGGCACGCUGUUUCCAGCCACAUAUGAGAAAUGGAAGCCUCCAGGGUUGAGAAUCAAGGGAGUCAGAUCAACCAUGUGGCUGCAAGACAGGGCAGAGAGGGGACGUCAGCCCCAGGCCCCUCCACACCUCAUGUGCAGUUCUACAGUAUGGGCACAGGCGCUGCCCACACAGAGCCGACCUCUGAGCCCAGACCCCUCCCCUGUAAAAUGAGAAUAAGCACUCAGGAUGGUUGUGAGGAUUCACUAACAGACUGAGAAGAAAUGGUGACCUAGCCUGGCACAUGGGACACUCCCCAAGAUGCUCCUUUUUCAUUUCCCUCAAGCCCAGAGUAAACCCCUUCUACCUCCUUGGGUUUCGUGACAGGCCAUUCCAGUUUAAUUUCACUUCAGAUCUUGAAAUGUCCAAAUUCUUCACCUGGAGGAUAGAAAGGAAAUCUCACGACAAGUUUGUUGGCCUCACUUGAAGAAAAGUACCUUAUAGAAGAGCCAUAAGAAUGACGUGGCUUUCAUUCACUCAGCAGAUACAUUGGGACCAUCUCUUGUGCCCACCUUGAGCUUGGUUAGGGGUACAGGAGAUGGGGUCGGGGGCGCUGGGAAUGAAGGAGGUCUUAACCCAUCCGCUGGGGAUGGAGGACUGCCUGGAGGUGGAGGCCAGACCUGAAUGAGUCACACAGGCUAAGUGGGGAGUCAAGAGGUGCAGGCAGUUAGGCCACCAUACCUGGCCGCUCAUCUUUUUUAGCAUUGAAUAAUAUUCCAUUGCCUGGAUAUUCCACAUUUUAUCAUUCACCCAAUGAAGGAUAUCCUGGUUGCUUCCAAGUUUUGGCAAUUAUGAAUAAAGCAGUAUAAACAUCUGUGUGGAGGUUUUAGAGUGUACAUAACUUUUCAACUCAUUUGGGUAAAUACCAAGGAGCAUGCUUGCUGAAUCAUAGG
Molecule: RNA transcript, 4459 nt
Organism: Pongo pygmaeus (Bornean orangutan)
Lineage: Eukaryota; Metazoa; Chordata; Mammalia; Primates; Hominidae
Exons: 3
Source: RefSeq, a predicted model, not a curated record